AGUGGCGGACGGGCGAGUAACGCGUGAGUAACCUGCCCAUAAGAGGGGGAUAAUCCUUGGAAACGAGGACUAAUACCGCAUAUUGAAAUUUUAUGGCAUCAUAGAAUUUUGAAAGAUUUAUCGCUUAUGGAUGGACUCGCGUCAGAUUAGCUAGUUGGUGAGGUAACGGCUCACCAAGGCGACGAUCUGUAGCCGAACUGAGAGGUUGAUCGGCCGCAUUGGGACUGAGACACGGCCCAGACUCCUACGGGAGGCAGCAGUGGGGAAUAUUGCGCAAUGGGGGAAACCCUGACGCAGCAACGCCGCGUGCAGGAAGAAGGUCUUCGGAUUGUAAACUGUUGUCGCAGGGGAAGAAGACAGUGACGGUACCCUGUGAGAAAGUCACGGCUAACUACGUGCC
This 400-nucleotide ribosomal RNA is filed under the name uncultured bacterium. Its description in RNAcentral is "bacterial SSU rRNA". It matches the Rfam family "Bacterial small subunit ribosomal RNA", at positions 94 to 509 of the family's 1533-position model. The record is from RNAcentral.